CUUGUAACCACUGUGUCUGUCUCUGUAUCUGUCUGUCUGUCUGUCUCUCUCUCUCUCUGGUAGUGAACAAUGAUGAUUCCUCAUAUUUUUUGUAGGUUGGUGGUAGUAGCAGUGCUUAUGGAGCUUAUGGAGGUUAUUCUUCAGGACGUGGUGGCCCUUCUGGGUUAUCCAGCCAUACCCCUGUUUCCCGGCGCAAAAACUAUGGGUACUAAAAUUUGGUGAUUGCUGAGAUUUAUGAAGCCUGAAGCCAGCCUACUGCCUACUUUGAUGAAGCCUGCCUAAACCGGAAGACCAGAUGAACCAGGGUUUGACAAACUCAUGGCCCACCCUGAUGCUACUACCUAGAGGGACCAAAUUUAUGUGGAGAUCUUAUUAUUUACUUUGAAAUUUGCCAUGUCCAUGACACCAAAAAUACCAAACUCUAUAAUAUGUGCUCCCAAGAACCUAGCUAGCUGGCAUGCCUGUUGCUGCCUUUUUAUUUCCUUUUCUUUGUUGUCUUUUCUGCUUUCCAGUUUGCAUUUGUUCAGAGGUUCAAAACCAUGUAGCUUCUUCCAUCCUUUGGCGGUUGUACUAAGAGUGUGGGGUUUGUUUAUCUAACAUUUGUCUUCUGUGCUCUCUUAAUCCUCUGGUUGUCUCAAUUUAUGAUUGGGAUCUUAUCCUCAACUUGGCCAAUUACCCUGAAAAGUAGUGCAGAAGACAUAUAAUCUGGAAUGCAGGCAUAUUUAUUAUUAACAUCUAAAGCAGCUCAAUGGUCUUUUGAGUCUUUCUAAUGUUCCUUAAUCAAGAAGUCCAUUGAUAUAUACAUAAAUUUAUUGAGGGCUAGCUUCUUGAGAACGUGUUUACUCAGAACAUAAAAAGUUAUUUUAGUUGUUUUCCUCAGCUUAAACUGAUUACCUGAGAGAAAUGGACACUUAGAAAUAGCAUUUCCUUUAAUCAUGUAAUAUGCAUUACGGUAUAAUGUAGAACUGGCGGUGUCACACACUAACUUAAUGAUGCAGAGAAUGGAUGUAACAUGGCAUCUACGGUUAGGGUUUGACUCCCCAACGGUGGUUUUCGCUGAUGAAUAUAUGUUGCAAUUUUUAGGAAAAUUGCUAGUUUAUAGUAUAAUGUAUAAUGCUGCCAAUGGAUUUCUUAAUUAAAGGACGUUAUAAGCAUGGGAAAGGACUGUGUUGGUGUCGUCGGCUUCAGUUUUUGGGUUUUAUCCUGCACAAAGACCUCACAUGAAAGGUAAGAGCUUAUUGUUUUGAUGGUUGCCUGUAACUUGAGAGAAUGAAGGAGCUUAUCAAGGUGUUUGAAACACGCUAGUUCUGAUUAUCUUUGUUGUUAAAACUGAUGUAGGUUUUUUCUGGGCACAUACGUGCUACUCUGGAGACUUGAAGAAUUCGGGCAUCUUAUGUGUACAAUCAUUGUUGUGGCAGUAGCAUGCACUGUGUUUUAAUAUGCUUGUAUAAAACAAUUUGAUGAAGUUGUUGAAUGUGAAAUUUUACUGCUGUUACAAUAGAAACUUAUCUACAGCGUGAUUGGCCUGUUAGAAAAUUAGACAAAA
Molecule: long non-coding RNA, 1546 nt
Organism: Theobroma umbraticum
Lineage: Eukaryota; Viridiplantae; Streptophyta; Magnoliopsida; Malvales; Malvaceae
Source: RefSeq, a predicted model, not a curated record